RNAcentral lists this ribosomal RNA (460 nucleotides) under uncultured bacterium. RNAcentral describes it as "partial 16S ribosomal RNA". It matches the Rfam family "Bacterial small subunit ribosomal RNA", at positions 338 to 795 of the family's 1533-position model. The record is from RNAcentral.
CCUACGGGGGGCUGCAGUGAGGAAUAUUGGUCAAUGGACGAGAGUCUGAACCAGCCAAGUCGCGUGAAGGAUGACUGCCCUAUGGGUUGUAAACUUCUUUUAUAAAGGAAUAAAACGAGGCACGUGUGCCUUUUUGCAUGUCCUUUAUGAAUAAGGAUCGGCUAACUCCGUGCCAGCAGCCGCGGUAAUCCGGAGGAUCCGAGCGUUAUCCGGAUUUAUUGGGUUUAACGGGAGCGUAGAUGGGUUGUUAAGUCAGUUGUGAAAGUUUGCGGCUCAACCGUAAAAUUGCAAUUGAUACUGGGAGUCUUGAGUACAGUUGAGGUAAGCGGAAUUCGUGGUGUAGCGGUGAAAUGCUUAGAUAUCACGAAGAACCCCGAUUGCGAAGGCAGCUUACUAAACUGUGACUGACAUUGAUGCUCGAAAGUGUGGGUAUCAAACAGGAUUAGAUACCCGUGUAGUC